RNAcentral lists this transfer RNA (69 nucleotides) under Pristiapogon exostigma (narrowstripe cardinalfish). RNAcentral's name for it is "tRNA-His". It matches the Rfam family "tRNA". Rfam says of the family: Transfer RNA (tRNA) molecules are approximately 80 nucleotides in length. Their secondary structure includes four short double-helical elements and three loops (D, anti-codon, and T loops). The record is from RNAcentral. Lineage: Eukaryota; Metazoa; Chordata; Actinopteri; Kurtiformes; Apogonidae. RNAcentral also lists the same sequence under 2 other names.
GUAGACAUAGUUUAAUGAAAAUCUUAGUUUGUGGUUCUAAAGACAGGGGUUAAAGCCCCCUUGUCCACC